CUUUCUCAUAUUAACCAUUGAAGACAAUUUUCAUAAUGUUACUUUGCCUUAAUUUUGCAGGCUGAGAGAACUGACUACACUGAAAGCCCAUGUCGAAUCCGUAGUAAAACUGAAGAAUCUCGACAUAGAAACAAUUCAGCAGUCGUACACGGUUUGAGUCCGAUUAUGGCGAAAUUUAGACGACCUUACGCCCCGGUGGUGGUGUAUGUUGAUUUGGCUUACAGUCAUCAGAUUGCUGUUUCUUCUUCUUUUCUGUGUCCAUAUUUGUCUGGUUUUUUGGGUUUAGGUUAGAAAGCUAGAUUUGGGAAUUGAAUUUUAAGUAUCAUCUUAGUGCUUCCAGUGAUUAUCUAAUGGCAGAGUUUGAUCUUACUGCUGCAAAAAUUUGUAAAAAAAUUGUUAUGUCAAGCACUUGUUUAUUUUAUAAUAUAUAAUUUUUUGCAAUUAGUAAUUAUGCUA
This 456-nucleotide long non-coding RNA is filed under the name Olea europaea subsp. europaea. Lineage: Eukaryota; Viridiplantae; Streptophyta; Magnoliopsida; Lamiales; Oleaceae. The record is from RNAcentral.